This is a long non-coding RNA of Temnothorax curvispinosus, 237 nucleotides long. RefSeq lists it as uncharacterized. The record is from RefSeq and is a predicted model, not a curated record. NCBI's taxonomy places the organism in Eukaryota, Metazoa, Arthropoda, Insecta, Hymenoptera, Formicidae. The transcript has 3 exons.
CACAGCAGCACAGCACUGAUCCCGCAUGGUGGAAGAAAGUUGACGGAAAAAUUAUAAUUUUAUUGAAAGAUAGAUAAAAACUGAUGACUGAUGAUUGAUGAUUGAUGAUUGAUGACUGAUGAUUGAUCGAUGACUGGACAUCGCCUAUAACGCAUGAAGGUAGUUCGGAAGACACUAUACUGUGAAAAUAUUGAAUAUAUCCGUCGUGCGCAGACACUCGGCGACGGUGUACAAACG